Fukomys damarensis (Damara mole-rat) is the source of this 125-nucleotide small nuclear RNA. The record is from Ensembl. Lineage: Eukaryota; Metazoa; Chordata; Mammalia; Rodentia; Bathyergidae.
GUGUUGUAUGAAAGGAGAGAAGAUUAGCACUCCCCUUGACAAGGAUGGAAGAGGCCCUUGGCCUGACAACACACAUACGGUUAAGGCAUUGCCACCUACUUCGUAGCAUCUAACCACUGUUUUUU